CCUACGGGAGGCAGCAGUGAGGAAUAUUGGACAAUGGGCGCAAGCCUGAUCCAGCCAUGCCGCGUGCAGGAAGACGGUCCUAUGGAUUGUAAACUGCUUUUGUACAGGAAGAAACACUCCCUCGUGAGGGAGCUUGACGGUACUGUAAGAAUAAGGAUCGGCUAACUCCGUGCCAGCAGCCGCGGUAAUACGGAGGAUCCAAGCGUUAUCCGGAAUCAUUGGGUUUAAAGGGUCCGUAGGCGGUUUAAUAAGUCAGUGGUGAAAUCUGGUCGCUCAACGAUCAAACGGCCAUUGAUACUGUUAGACUUGAAUUAUUAGGAAGUAACUAGAAUAUGUAGUGUAGCGGUGAAAUGCUUAGAUAUUACAUGGAAUACCAAUUGCGAAGGCAGGUUACUACUAAUGGAUUGACGCUGAUGGACGAAAGCGUGGGGAGCGAACAGGAUUAGAUACCCUGGUAGUCCACGCCGUAAACGAUGGAUACUAGCUGUUCGGAGCAAUCUGAGUGGCUAAGCGAAAGUGAUAAGUAUCCCACCUGGGGAGUACGUUCGCAAGAAUGAAACUCAAAUGAAAUUGAGG
Molecule: ribosomal RNA, 576 nt
Filed under: uncultured bacterium
Lineage: Bacteria
Description: bacterial SSU rRNA
Rfam family: Bacterial small subunit ribosomal RNA
Source: RNAcentral